AUUUGUUUAAUAUUAGGCCCAAGAAAACGUACUCAAUAAACCUUACCACGGAAGCAAGUGUAUAUUUUCUCUCUACUGCGUGGGACGGCGACGGCGCUCCAGUUUCUUCACCGUUACUGAAUCAGAUUUCGUUAUGGUUUCUUGGUGUUUAAUCCCAUUAACUAUGCGGUUUACAUCGGAGAAGCUCUGUCAAUUCGGGCCUUAUUCUCCGAUUUGAAGGCCGGCAAGCGUUUAUCCAUUGUCGAGGCUAGGCUGCUGCGUUUCUCGGAGGCAAGGAAUGUGAAGCGCCCCUCCAGAUUCAGACUUGUUGCAGUUUCAGAUAAUUAUUUAAAAGAGCUUUCACCUCAUUUUGAAGAAGGCAUUCAGAUUGAUAGAUGAUGGGCUUGAGCAAGUUAGAGGCUUUUUAUCGAUGAAACUAUGCCAUUUAAAGAACGGUUAAAGAUAUUGGGGCUGUCCUCGCAACAGAUACCUGGUGCAAAAGUCGGUUACAGUGAAUACUGACGCUGCCAUUUUUGUAGCAUUGGAUCGGUCAAUAACAAAGCUAAUCAAUGUUCGUGCCUCUGAGGUUUUCCCUGGUAUGGUUCGCCACAAGACCAAGCACAUGCUAACCAAUGGGAAUAAGAACUGUUCAGCAUCGCGUUUUAGGAUUGUUCGUUUUAGUACAAAUGAUUUUAAACCUAUUUAUUAUGUUCAGCUUCUGAGAAAGUGAGUUUAUUGCUAUAAUUUUUAUGAACCUGUUUUACUCCAAACAUUCUCUUUUAGAACAAUAAGUAAAAAAAUUAAUAUUAGUUUGUUUACCCAAUAACGGUGGUAUCGAUUUUCCAUACUCGGAUUA
This is a long non-coding RNA of Brassica oleracea var. oleracea, 835 nucleotides long. RefSeq lists it as uncharacterized. The transcript has 5 exons. NCBI's taxonomy places the organism in Eukaryota, Viridiplantae, Streptophyta, Magnoliopsida, Brassicales, Brassicaceae. The record is from RefSeq and is a predicted model, not a curated record.